Molecule: non-coding RNA, 63 nt
Filed under: marine eukaryotic metagenome
Description: DUF805 RNA
Rfam family: DUF805 RNA
Source: RNAcentral
AAUGUGGAGCCCAGAACCCACUAAAAAAAACGGAGUGAAACCGAAAAACUUUAAGAGUAGGAA